AGCAGUGUGCUUAGUGGAUAGAGCACGUGCCUGGGAGUCAAAAGGACCUGGGUUCUAAUCCCAGCUCUGCCA
This 72-nucleotide transfer RNA is filed under the name Ornithorhynchus anatinus (platypus). It matches the Rfam family "tRNA". Rfam says of the family: Transfer RNA (tRNA) molecules are approximately 80 nucleotides in length. Lineage: Eukaryota; Metazoa; Chordata; Mammalia; Monotremata; Ornithorhynchidae. The record is from Rfam by way of RNAcentral.